CAAUAGCGUAUAUUAAAGUUGUUGCGGUUAAAAAGCUCGUAGUUGGAGUUCUGCCAGGUGACGCUCGUCCGCCCAAGUGGUGUGUACAGGGCGUGCAUCUGGCCCUUUCAAGGGGAACGUGUCUGCACUUUACUGUGUGGUGCGAGAUCCUUGACUUUUACUUUGAGGAAAUCAGAGUGUUCCAAGCAGGCUCUCGUCGUGUAUAGCUCAGCAUGGAAUAAUAGCAUUGGACUUCGUUUCUAAGCUGUUGGUUGCAAGAAGCGAGGUAAUGAUGAAGAGGGAUAGUUGGGGGCAUUCGUAUUUAACUGUCAGAGGUGAAAUUCUUGGAUUUGUUGAAGACGGACUACUGCGAAAGCAUCUGCCAUGGAUGUUCUCAUUGA
This 380-nucleotide ribosomal RNA is filed under the name uncultured eukaryote. RNAcentral's name for it is "partial 18S ribosomal RNA". It matches the Rfam family "Eukaryotic small subunit ribosomal RNA", at positions 592 to 976 of the family's 1831-position model. The record is from RNAcentral.